RNAcentral lists this ribosomal RNA (253 nucleotides) under uncultured bacterium. RNAcentral describes it as "partial 16S ribosomal RNA". It matches the Rfam family "Bacterial small subunit ribosomal RNA", at positions 524 to 776 of the family's 1533-position model. The record is from RNAcentral.
UACAGAGGUGGCAAGCGUUGUUCGGAAUUACUGGGAGUAAAGGGCUUGUAGGUGGCCAACUAAGUCAGACGUGAAAUCCCUCGGCUUAACCGGGGAACUGCGUCUGAUACUGGAUGGCUUGAGUGUGGGAGAGGGAUGCGGAAUUCCAGGUGUAGCGGUGAAAUGCGUAGAUAUCUGGAGGAACACCGGUGGCGAAGGCGGCAUCCUGGACCAUUACUGACACUGAAAAGCGAAAGCCAGGGGAGCAAACGGG